This is a long non-coding RNA of Lytechinus variegatus (green sea urchin), 1013 nucleotides long. RefSeq lists it as uncharacterized. The record is from RefSeq and is a predicted model, not a curated record. The transcript has 2 exons. NCBI's taxonomy places the organism in Eukaryota, Metazoa, Echinodermata, Echinoidea, Temnopleuroida, Toxopneustidae.
GAGUUAACAAGUUUGAAAGCAUAAUCGCCUUUAUUUUGCGAUGUUACCAAUCGAUAUACCAAAGAAAAAUAUGAAAACAAAAGUAAAAGGUACAAGUUGACGUUUCUUCUCAUCAUUAUCAUCUGCAGCAAUCGCGGUAGUUAUCUCACGAGUCAUUCUCCCCUAUCGAUAGCUUGCUCCGAUUCCAUUCAAGUCAUUGUGAAGAUUUGCCCGAGCAAUCGAGCUUGGAGCCUAGUGUGUUGGCUGACUUUGAAGAUGUACAUUCACGUAUGUGUGAGUUUGUGUGUCUUAUGGACUUCAUCUUAUUCGUGUUGGAGGCCUCUGGAGUUGGACCACAUUUAUAACCAAAAUUGUCGCAAGAAGUAUUUCGUUUUGUUGGCUGCAAAGAAUGGACGAAUUAGUCGGCCGCAAUAUCAUUUAUUCCGUAAUGAAAAAACAUUCAGACUGGAUUUCAACUAGCAUCGUUAGCGCAAUAGUGGCUAUUUCGCAUUUACGAUUGUAAAUGCAACCGUACCAACCACAUAAACCACCCAACGUUUCCUCCUCCGGUUCAACUUGCUCAUUCAACCCACAUGCUGUGAUUUCCUGUUGAACCUACACCAAUCAGAGCGACAUGUCACUACUAGGCAUGAUUGGUAGUGGUAGUACCAGUAGGUCCAUAGGUAUACACCUGAGAGGUAUACCAAGGAGUUACCAGCACUGGGUAUACACGCUGGUGGAGGGAAUGCCAUGGGAUUUGGACCAGCAUAGUUUCUUCCAACAUGUCCAAGCACAUGGGUGACCAGGGGAAAGCCAGCUGUAGAUUCGGGUUGACCUGUCACCCCCUGGAGACAGAUGACAAGUUAUGGGCCGGACGUUUCCAAGGCAACGCCCACUAUGGUAUGCGGAAACCUCAUCGACAUCCAUUUUCCCCCUGUCUGUGUUUAGACUCCCAUUGACAGCCGCUUGUGCUUAUUUUCACUUGCUUUGGAUCUUGGCUGCAAGGGAGAAACUCCAAAUAUCACCUAGGUGAA